GUUUUCAAAUUUAUCCGCUUUGGAGAGCGUCUUCCAACAGGAAGAAAGGCCAAAACGGAGAGAAAAAUAUACGUUUUCCAACGAUAACGUAUUAGUGUGGCCAUGGCCUUAUAAGCUAAUCAAAAAAGAGGCUACACAAUAGCCAAUCAGAAAAUCACACUAUUGCAACACAACAACCAAUGAAAAAAAAGCAGAUCCUGGAAUUGUUCAGGAUGAUCCUCAUUCACCCACAGAGAAAACCACUGGAGCUGCGAGGAUCACUUUGAGCACAGAACACUGGUUUAUGAAGAGUGUAUGCAUCUUGCUCAGCUAAACAGUUCCCUUUCGGAACUCGAGCUGCGUCAAAACACUAUGGGAACGCCCCUGCAUGACCGCGCUCUGAACCACGUGUGUAAUCUGACCAAUAGGCCUUGGGACGUGACGUCAUCGGCGAGAGAUGGACAAGACGCUAGCUUCUGCUCGUUCAGACCCUUCUCGUGUUCACUAAUGAAUGCAGAGUAACCCAUUAGAGGGAGGAAGCAGACGCAGAAGAGCUGGGUAAAGCUUGUAUGUGGGCAUGUGAUGCUGACUCAUGAAGGUAAGCUCAGUAAUGGACCACAGACUGGUGUGGUUUAAGGCACAGAGAAUAGUAUUUUGUGUUUUCUUGAAGUCAUAAUACAUUCUGUAUUUUUGAAAACAAAGGCCCAUCCAUGAAUGUUAUAUUUUUAAUAUAGUAAAAGCCUUAGUACAAUCACCUUGCAGUUCUGCUCCACUCUGUACAUUCUGUUACAUCUUUUCUACCAAUUAUAAAUGGAUAUAAUUGUAAAUUCAUUUCUUACCUCUAUUCAUUGUUCACCUCUGUUUAUGUAUAUUAACUGUACGUACAAGUAUCAACACAAACCCAACACAAACUCCAUGCUGUAGCUU
Tachysurus vachellii is the source of this 906-nucleotide long non-coding RNA. RefSeq lists it as uncharacterized. The transcript has 3 exons. The record is from RefSeq and is a predicted model, not a curated record. Lineage: Eukaryota; Metazoa; Chordata; Actinopteri; Siluriformes; Bagridae.